Molecule: ribosomal RNA, 630 nt
Filed under: uncultured archaeon
Lineage: Archaea
Description: bacterial SSU rRNA
Rfam family: Archaeal small subunit ribosomal RNA
Source: RNAcentral
UAAUACUGGAUAGGCAAUUAUUCCUGUAAUGGUUUUUUGUUUAAAUGUUUUUUCGCCUAAGGAUGGGGUCUGCGGCCGAUUAGGUAGUUGGUCAGGUAAUGGCUUACCAAGCCUUUGAUCGGUACGGGUUGUGAGAGCAAGAGCCCGGAGAUGGAACCUGAGACAAGGUUCCAGGCCCUACGGGGUGCAGCAGGCGCGAAACCUCCGCAAUGUGAGAAAUCGCGACGGGGGGAUCCCAAGUGCCAUUCUUAACGGGAUGGCUUUUCAUUAGUGUAAAGAGCUUUUGGAAUAAGAGCUGGGCAAGACCGGUGCCAGCCGCCGCGGUAACACCGGCAGCUCUAGUGGUAGCAGUUUUUAUUGGGCCUAAAGCGUCCGUAGCCGGUUUAAUAAGUCUCUGGUGAAAUCCUGCAGCUUAACUGUGGGAAUUGCUGGAGAUACUAUUAGACUUGAGAUCGGGAGAGGUUAGAGGUACUCCCAGGGUAGAGGUGAAAUUCUGUAAUCCUGGGAGGACCGCCUGUUGCGAAGGCGUCUGACUGGAACGAUUCUGACGGUGAGGGACGAAAGCUAGGGGCGCGAACCGGAUUAGAUACCCGGGUAGUCCUAGCUGUAAACGAUGCGGACUUGGUGUUG